GCUUCGAUGGCCUAGUGGUUAGAGCGCCCGCCUCUGAUUCGAGAGGUUGUGGGUUCUAUCCCCGAUCGAGUCA
Non-coding RNA from Potamilus streckersoni, 73 nucleotides. The record is from the annotation of a GenBank genome assembly. Lineage: Eukaryota; Metazoa; Mollusca; Bivalvia; Unionida; Unionidae.